This 1541-nucleotide long non-coding RNA is filed under the name Bos indicus x Bos taurus (hybrid cattle). RNAcentral describes it as "lncRNA (ENSBIXG00005012678.1)". The record is from RNAcentral. Lineage: Eukaryota; Metazoa; Chordata; Mammalia; Artiodactyla; Bovidae.
GGGGCCCCGGGCGCCCGCGCGGCCCUAGAGCGCGCGGCUCUGCGCCUCGGCAACCUGAGCCGCCUGCCGCCGCCUCCGCGCCCCUGGCCGGGCUCGGGUCGCGGGAGCCAAUGCCGCUCGCUUCCCCCGAAGAAGGCCAGCCUGCGCAGGACUGUGGGGGUCACUGUUCCCCGAGACACAAUGGGGGCCUUGUGUCGGAUGUGGCCUCUUGGAGGACAGAAGGGGCCAGGCCCUGCUCCACACUGCCCAUCGGCUUCCUUCCAGAGCGUCCCGGCAUAGAGGAUCCAAAAGUACUCAACCAGAGCAACUCAAAAGAUGCUCAGAGACUACACCUGCUUGCAAGAGCUUUAAUUAUCAACAUCCAAAGCCCGAGGGAGAAAAACAUAAAGUUUACCCUCAAACAAUAUAUGGUGAAGAGAAGGAUGAAGAGUCCAUAUUCAGCCACACAGAAAGAGGAUGAAAGACUUUUCCUGCCGUGGGAAAGAACUUCAAAGGGGAGCAAAGAGGCAGAGGGUGAGUCUGUGAGUGUUUGAUGCUUCACUUCCCGCCUAGGCUGAGUCCAGUGGUGAAGACAACUGGAAAUCCAAGAUGGGUUUAGAGAACCCGAGGCGGGAAAGGACUAGCUCUUCCCUCUCAAAGCAAAGCCUGGGAAGCCUGCAAGUCUCUUAGAGAAAGUAGCAGCAGCAAAAUCUGAGAGAUGCCCAGACAGCUGGCCCAAGGGCAGCCUCAGGGGCUGCCAGGGUUUCAUGGAGACAGAGACAGAGAAGUACGACAGCCCCUGAGAGCGGGGUGAGGAUGACACCCAGGCCAGGGGGCAUGAAGGAAUCUGGGAUCUCCACCCCAGUGAGCAGGACCCAGAGUGGCCUGCAUGGAACAGAUCAUCAGGAGGGUUAUUGGGAGAUCAGUGGUCCCUUGAGCACAAGCAGGUACAUCCAGAGGCAGAUGGGAGAGGGUGAAGCUCAGCAUCAUUUCAGAGACGGACACAGGCUGACUGAGGACCCAGCAUCCUCUUCUGGCCUGGAUGAUUGUUAAAGUCUCUUCAUUCUGGAACUCAGGUCACUGCCUGGGCAGAAAGGAGGAAAAGAGUUGAGGAAGCAUAGGCAAUGAGUGAGGGCAAAAUCUCAGGCGGCACUAGUGGUAAAGAACCUGCCUGCCAAUGUAGGAGACAUAAGAGACGUGGGUUCGAUCCCUGGGCCGGGAAGAUCCCCUGGAGGAGGGCAUGACAACCCCCACUCCAGUAUUCUUGCCUGGGAAAUCCCAUGGACAGAGGAAUCUGGUGGACUACAGUCCAUAGGGUUGCAAAGAGUUGGACAUGACUGAAGCAACUUAGUAUGCAGGAAAUGAUUGAAUCAUUGAUCACCACCAUCUAUGGAAUUUUACCCUAACUGAGCUAACCCUGAAUCAGAUUAUUUUUGUCACUGUUCAUUAAAAAAAAAAAAAAGGACAGACAAAAUUUAGUUCUUAUAGAGAAAUGAAGUUUCAAUUUUGCAUACCUGUGCAAUAUAUAGGGAAGGUUAAUAAAAUUUUUACUUAAAACUUCA